GCUGUGAGAAAGGAAGGCGAGAAUGCGCUUGGUGGCAUGCUUAAAAAUGUCAUUGGAACUCUUGAUUUUCGUUUCAAGUACAUGUUACAGGGGGAGACUUAUCCUGAGGAAUUUUUAUAGCCAGCUGUGAAUAUGUUUAGCACCUUCAAAAGAAGGGGACCUCAGAAACAUGGCAUAAUCUCAAACAUGAUUGUUGCCAAAAGUGCACGUCAACAAGGUACAAAGCAGUUAUACUUACAUGUCUGUCGGGAUAACAAGCCAGCAUUAGCA
Papaver somniferum (opium poppy) is the source of this 270-nucleotide long non-coding RNA. RefSeq lists it as uncharacterized. The transcript is spliced from 3 exons. The record is from RefSeq and is a predicted model, not a curated record. Lineage: Eukaryota; Viridiplantae; Streptophyta; Magnoliopsida; Ranunculales; Papaveraceae.